Small nucleolar RNA from Corylus avellana, 90 nucleotides. RefSeq annotates it as small nucleolar RNA R24. The record is from RefSeq and is a predicted model, not a curated record. Lineage: Eukaryota; Viridiplantae; Streptophyta; Magnoliopsida; Fagales; Betulaceae.
UCAGCAGUGAUGAGCCUCUAACAUGUAAGAAGAAACCAUAAUGUGGUUUCUUCAAUGAAAUGCACUUGUUACGCUUGGCUUCUGAGCUCC